GUGUCAGCAGCCGCGGUAAUACAGAGGUUGCGAGCGUUGUUCGGAAUUAUUGGGCGUAAAGCGCUUGUAGGCGGCCCGGCAAGUCCCGUGUGAAAUCCCUCGGCUUAACCGAGGAAGUGCGCGGGAAACUGCCAGGCUUGAGUGCCGGAGAGGGUGGCGGAAUUCCGGGUGUAGAGGUGAAAUUCGUAGAUAUCCGGAGGAACACCAGUGGCGAAGGCGGCCACCUGGACGGACACUGACGCUGAGACGCGAAAGCGUGGGGAGCAAACAGGAUUAGAUACCCUGGUAGUCCACGCCGUAAACGAUGGGAACUAGGUGUCGCGGGUUUUGACCCCUGCGGUGCCGACGCUAACGCAUUAAGUUCCCCGCCUGGGAAGUACGGCCGCAAGGCUAAA
This 395-nucleotide ribosomal RNA is filed under the name uncultured bacterium. Its description in RNAcentral is "partial 16S ribosomal RNA". It matches the Rfam family "Bacterial small subunit ribosomal RNA", at positions 505 to 898 of the family's 1533-position model. The record is from RNAcentral.